GAAACAGACACUGUGUUACUAGGAAGUGGCAGCGAGAGCCCAGGAGGAGCUGGAGAGAGAGGCAAGCUUGAGGGACAGCCCAAUGCCUGCCCCCUGUACCAAGUCCCAGUGUACAAUACCUUGCUCUUCUAAGAUCCCGUUAGGCAUCUUCUUGUCGUUGCUGCUGACCACCGCCUUCCUCUGCUUCCGGAACCUUAGAAGCACACACAAGAUGUGUUAAGUCUCAGCACCUCGGGAACCCCCAAGCCCUGAGUGUGGUGAUACCCACCAGGAGCUGGUGAGAGAACGUCAGUGCCUGGGGACACUCCUACCUGAAGAAGUAGGCUGCAAGCAGGAACAGGAGGAGGAGCAGAGGCAGCAGCAGCCAGGGUGCUCUCUUAUCACCACAAAGCUCCCACCCAAAGGGCCCCAUCAAAAGCCUGCUACUCCAGUUAAUGAGUGUGGCUCCUGUGAACUGGUCCAGAGGAGCUAUGUUCUGCAGCUGGUGAACACAUGCUGGCAGGAGUGAGCAGGUCCCCAUGGGAGGCCCCGGAGGGACACCACUGCGCCUGUGGGAAAUUAGUCUAUGGUCUGGAAACCCUGUAAAGCCCUUGAGUGGGGUGAAAGUUGAACCUCUGACCCAAUGGGAGAGCACCAAAUUCCACCGACCUUUUCUAAGAAGCUUUUUCGAAAAAUCUCACAGUACUGAUAGAAGGGACUGUCAGUCGUGUAAGGGAAAUUCCAAUAGCGAUGGUGAUGUUCGCUCACUGGGAAAGGAGCUCUCAUUCCUCUCCGUGCUAGUCAGCCUUCCGAGGCUGUGACAAGACACCUGAGGAAAACAACGGAGGGAGAGCUUCACCCCAAAUACCCUACACUGGAUUGAUUAAUCAACCAAAUGGGAGCCCUUAUGACUCUCCGUAGCCCAUGGGACUGGACCCAGACCUUCAUGAGUGUCUGGGGGGGGAGGGGGGAUGGGUCAUGUUUGAGCCAUAACAGUGUUGGCUCUCACCGCCAGUGUAUCUUCACAUUAAUAAGAAUGUCCAGAUGUGAGCACUCUUUGAAGUUAUGCCAACACGAGGUGUCACUUUGCAUAGGAGGUGUGGCUUUGCACUAAAGGUGCUCUUUCUCUAAUCCACUUGUUUCCCCAGUCCCUUGCUCACUUGGCUCUCCUGAGCAGCCCCCUCGCUAUCACCUGCACUGGCAUCUCACCAGCCUCCUGAGCCCCUUACCAUACCAUGGAUGCCCUGUUCUUCAUAUCAGCCCUCUACCCUAUGCAGAUCACCCUUCUUGAUCAUUGAUGGCAGCUAUCCAUCUGUCUCCCACUCCUUGGGCUCCCUGUCAGCUCCUCUCUGCAUUUGAAUGUGUGGAUCUGUGAGUCAGAGCCACCUGCUUGUCUUGUAUUAUCUACACAGGUGGCUGGAGGAGAAGGAACAGCCCUAACAGCACUUAGUAAAAUUGUCAGAAGAUAGGGAAGCAGGUCUCUGUAGCUGGGGAGCCAGUGCGUUUGGAGGGGCAAGACGAAUAUGUGCUGUUCCUUCAGGCCACUGGUCCUCAUGCUGCAGACAACCCCUUCUCUGAACCUGCAUUAUGAGAGCCCCAAGAAUACAGCCCCCAAGCUAAGCUGUGGGGUUCUGCUUUGGGGAACAAGAAGGUGUGGGAGGCAGUUCCCCUACUUUCACAAGUCUGCAGGUAGCCCUGGCCCUGCUCCAUUCCCCAUCUGGUCACAUCCUGUGUCCUGUUCAUGAAGCACUACCGGUCAGGGAUUGGGUGUGCCAGCUGCACCUGGGGUGUUGGAAAGAGACAGCUGUGCAAUGAGGGCAGUGCUUUGGGAGCCCUCCAGGUACAGACACUUUCAAUGGAAGAGUCGGGGAAAGAUCACUUCCUCCCCUUCAUGACUUUUAUUUGACUUUAUCUGGACAAUAAAUCAGCUAGUGACGUCCUUCCAUCAAGACCCAUAAAUAAACCAACACUUCCAUUACUACUUCCAAGGGAGACUCACAAGCAUUUUGAUAGACUAAUGUUCCCUAUGCUGAAAUCGGCUUCUGUCAUCUCAGAAUAAUUGCCUCAGCAAAUGUGCCCAUCACCUUGGCACCCAGGUCUACCAGUGCCCAGUAACUAAAUGUAUCUGUGAAGGCCAGAAGAGGGUGUCUGAAUCUCCUGGAGCUGUAAGAGGCUGUGAGCUGCCCAGCAGGAAUGCUGGGAACCAAAUUCAGGUCCUCUGUAAGAGCAAGAGUAAGAUCUCUUAACCACUGGGCAUCUCUUCAGCCCCUUCUUUCUCCUUUUCCUUUCCUUUCCUUUCCUUUAUUCCUUUCACCCUUGUCUGUCUCCAUUUGGGGUCUUCCUAAAGGGCAGCAAGAGCCUCUAAUUACAUAUAUGAUGACAUAUCUCACCACUCCUACCUCCUGCCUAGUUCGUCUGUCAGACCCACUACCCCCAGGGAAUGGUUGUCAUUAACAGAGGUUUCAGCCAACCCUGCUCAGCUUCCAGAAGUAGCAAGAACCAUCUGCAUGAACGGAGCCACAGAAUAUGGAUCCCGGUUGGGUCAAUGAGACCUGUUUUAAUUGGACCACAAGACAGGAGAUUUAAGCAGCAGAGAUGACAGGGAUGUGACUUACAGCUAGAGGCUGCUGCACAGACAUCAUUGAUCUACCUGCCUGCUGCAAAGCUCUAUGGGAAGAAAACACACACAAGGAACCCAGAACCACCAGGAAGCAGCAUGGUGAUUCCCACGCAAUGAGAGCAAGAGGGAACAGGCAAGGGAAUUUCCCUGUGCCCUCAUCUAGGGCUCAAUGGACUGGCUUAUGCCCUCCAUAGCCAUUAGGAGUAGAAAGUUCUAGAAAGCACAUGCAGAGACUAUAUUCUAAAGGUGAAGGAAUGAGCAUUAUUUCCCGUGACAGUGACUUGAGCAGCUUAUCAAAGAUCCCAGAGAAACAGUUGGUGUGCCCUCUUGAUAGGUGUUGGGGUGAUAAGAGAGACAUGCUUUGGUCAAAAAUCCAUCAAACCUUAGGCUUGAGGUCUGUGCAUGUUUGCCCUUAUUGUGUAAUUCCACCUUUAGAAGAGGGCUGCUUUCAGAACACAGUGGAAAACGAGGCAUGUAGCUCAGUUGACAGAACGUUGGCAGCAACCACGAGACCCUGGGUACCAUCUCCAGCAUGAGCUAGAAGAUCAGUGAGGCCACGUGCACACCUGUAACCCAGGCACUCCGGAGGUGGAGGCAAGGGGGGUCAGCAGCUCAAGGUCAUCCCUGGCUAUAUAGCACAUUCAGGGUCCCAAGGCAGUCCGAGUUACAAGAAAUUCCAUCUCAAAAACAACGAGACCAAAGCCAGUGUCUGGCUCCCUUCUAGGCAGCAGGUUCCAAUGUGUAGCUUCUAUACUCUGAUGUAUUCUCAGUCAUAGAUCAGCACCCGGACACCCUUCAUCCCAGGUAGGGAAACAGCUCUCUGUGUGUCUUGAAGGGGCCGAGGCCACAGGCAGAAAGGGUGCUAUCCAAAUGCUACUGGUAUGAAUUCAUUACUGUGACUCUAUCUAGCCCUGUUGGUGGGCUGCACUAAACCUUUAGUGGAGAUUGCC
RNAcentral lists this long non-coding RNA (3549 nucleotides) under Mus pahari (shrew mouse). RNAcentral's name for it is "RIKEN cDNA 5830432E09 gene (MGP_PahariEiJ_G0004187.1)". Lineage: Eukaryota; Metazoa; Chordata; Mammalia; Rodentia; Muridae. The record is from RNAcentral.